UACGUAGGUGGCGAGCGUUGUCCGGAAUUACUGGGUGUAAAGCGCGUGUAGGCGGGAGGCCAAGUCUGUGGUGAAAUCGCUCGGCUUAACUGGGCGGGGUCCAUGGAAACUGGUCACCUGGAGGUCGGUAGAGGCAAGUGGAAUUCCCGGUGUAGUGGUGAAAUGCGUAGAGAUCGGGAGGAACACCAGUGGCGAAGGCGGCUUGCUGGGCCGGACCUGACGCUGAGGUGCGAAAGCGUGGGGAGCAAACAGG
This 253-nucleotide ribosomal RNA is filed under the name uncultured bacterium. RNAcentral's name for it is "partial 16S ribosomal RNA". It matches the Rfam family "Bacterial small subunit ribosomal RNA", at positions 524 to 776 of the family's 1533-position model. The record is from RNAcentral.